GACGAACGCUGGCGGCGUGCUUAACACAUGCGAGUCGAACGGAAAGGCCCUGCUUUUGUGGGGUGCUCGAGUGGCGAACGGGUGAGUAACACGUGAGUAACCUGCCCUUGACUUUGGGAUAACUUCAGGAAACUGGGGCUAAUACCGGAUAGGAGCUCCUGCUGCAUGGUGGGGGUUGGAAAGGUUCGGUGGCUGGGGAUGGACUCGCGGCUUAUCAGCUUGUUGGUGGGGUAGUGGCUUACCAAGGCCUUGACGGGUAGCCGGCCUGAGAGGGUGACCGGCCACAUUGGGACUGAGAUACGGCCCAGACUCCUACGGGAGGCAGCAGUGGGGAAUAUUGCACAAUGGGCGGAAGCCUGAUGCAGCAACGCCGCGUGCGGGAUGACGGCCUUCGGGUUGUAAACCGCUUUCGCCUGUGACGAAGCGUGAGUGACGGUAAUGUGUAAGGAAGCACCGGCUAACUACGUG
Molecule: ribosomal RNA, 468 nt
Filed under: uncultured bacterium
Lineage: Bacteria
Description: partial 16S ribosomal RNA
Rfam family: Bacterial small subunit ribosomal RNA
Source: RNAcentral